RNAcentral lists this ribosomal RNA (460 nucleotides) under uncultured bacterium. Its description in RNAcentral is "partial 16S ribosomal RNA". It matches the Rfam family "Bacterial small subunit ribosomal RNA", at positions 338 to 795 of the family's 1533-position model. The record is from RNAcentral.
CCUACGGGAGGCAGCAGUGAGGAAUAUUGGUCAAUGGACGAGAGUCUGAACCAGCCAAGUAGCGUGAAGGAUGACUGCCCUAUGGGUUGUAAACUUCUUUUAUAUGGGAAUAAAAUGUUUCACGUGUGGGAUUUUGUAUGUACCAUAUGAAUAAGGACCGGCUAACUCCGUGCCAGCAGCCGCGGUAAUACGGAGGAUCCGGGCGUUAUCCGGAUUUAUUGGGUUUAAAGGGAGCGUAGGUGGAUUGUUAAGUCGGUUGUGAAAGUUUGCGGCUCAACCGGAGAAUUGCAGUGGAAACUGGCAGGCUUGAGUACAGUGAAGGUAGGCGGAAUUCGUGGUGUAGCGGUGAAAUGCUUAGAUAUCACGAAGAACUCCGAUUGCGAAGGCAGUUCGCUGGAGCGCAACUGACACUGAGGCUCGAAAGUGUGGGUAUCAAACAGGAUUAGAUACCCUAGUAGUC